UUUGCCAAGACCUUUUGUUAGCUCCCUGCCUCGACUCUUGAUUCUCUGAGCUAGACCCUAAGAAGAGCGCGUUUAUUCUUAAAUGUCCUUUAAUGGCCACUUCAUUAGAACAGUCCAGUUAGGGCCCGUGAGCAUGGUUUCAUUGCAUUAUUGUUGGAGAAAAAGGUAUGUUAGCAGUUAGAGGAAGGCUUUCUGCUUAAGGAAAUAUUACCACCCCCCUCGCCUCCCCCAGGGGCAUGGAUACAUAGACAAGCAUAUGCAAAAACUUCUGCAAGGGAUUCAGCGUAUCAGUGAAUUCCAGGAAAGCUCCUGUGUAGUCAUAUAGCUCAGGGUGUGUCUCUAAGAAGAAGAAAGAAAAUGACCAGUGAGGAGUCAGCCUCUUUCUGGAAAGAGCUAAAAAUGGAUGAAAACAAAGACUGAAAGAAAAUCCCUCAGAACGUUAAUGAAGACUGUGCUUGGGUGAUGGAGUUGUGGACAGUUUAGUUUUCUGUGUUUCCGUAUUUUCGCAUUGUCUUGAGUGAGAUUUUAUUACUUUUGUAAUGGAAAAUAAACAUUAAAAAGGAAAAAAA
Molecule: long non-coding RNA, 569 nt
Organism: Bubalus bubalis (water buffalo)
Lineage: Eukaryota; Metazoa; Chordata; Mammalia; Artiodactyla; Bovidae
Exons: 3
Source: RefSeq, a predicted model, not a curated record